RNAcentral lists this transfer RNA (74 nucleotides) under Caudoviricetes sp. RNAcentral's name for it is "tRNA-Trp". It matches the Rfam family "tRNA". Rfam says of the family: Transfer RNA (tRNA) molecules are approximately 80 nucleotides in length. Their secondary structure includes four short double-helical elements and three loops (D, anti-codon, and T loops). The record is from RNAcentral. Lineage: Duplodnaviria; Heunggongvirae; Uroviricota; Caudoviricetes.
ACGCGAUUCAGCCAACGGUAGGCUGGCGGUCUCCAAAACCGUCAAUGAAUGUUCGAAUCAUGCAGCGCCUACCA